UCCAGACUCCUACGGGAGGCAGCAGUCGGGAAUAUUGCGCAAUGGAGGAAACUCUGACGCAGUGACGCCGCGUGCAGGAAGAAGGUUUUCGGAUUGUAAACUGCUUUAGACAGGGAAGAAAAAAGACAGUACCUGUAGAAUAAGCUCCGGCUAACUACGUGCCAGCAGCCGCGGUAAUACGUAGGGAGCAAGCGUUAUCCGGAUUUACUGGGUGUAAAGGGAGCGUAGACGGCGGCGCAAGUCCGGAGUGAAAGCCCACGGCCCAACCGUGGGACGGCUCUGGAAACUGGGCGGCUUGAGUGCGGGAGGGGCAGGCGGAAUUCCUAGUGUAGCGGUGAAAUGCGUA
Molecule: ribosomal RNA, 346 nt
Filed under: uncultured bacterium
Lineage: Bacteria
Description: partial 16S ribosomal RNA
Rfam family: Bacterial small subunit ribosomal RNA
Source: RNAcentral